RNAcentral lists this ribosomal RNA (431 nucleotides) under uncultured bacterium. Its description in RNAcentral is "bacterial SSU rRNA". It matches the Rfam family "Bacterial small subunit ribosomal RNA", at positions 16 to 470 of the family's 1533-position model. The record is from RNAcentral.
AUCCUGGCUCAGAGCGAACGCUAGCGGCGGGGCUUAACACAUGCAAGUCGAGCGCAUGGCUUCGGCCAUGAGCGGCGGACGGGUGAGUAACACGUAGGUCAUCUGCCUUUUGGUGGGGAAUAACCCAAGGAAACUCGGGGCUAAUACCGCAUACGGUCCACGGAUCAAAAGCCUUCGGGCGCCAGAAGAUGAGCCUGCGUCGCAUUACCUAGUUGGCGGGGUAACGGCCCACCAAGGGGACGAUGCGUAGCUGGUCUGAGAGGAUGAUCAGCCACACUGGGACUGAGACACGGGCCCAGACUCCUACGGGAGGCAGCAGUGGGGAAUAUUGCGCAAUGGGGGAAACCCUGACGCAGCCACGCCGCGUGGGUGGAUGAAGGCCUCGGUGUAAGACUCGUCGGGUAGGGACGGAAACGUAACGGUAACGGUAA